GGAUUAGAUACCCUGGUAGUCCACGCCGUAAACGAUGUCAACUAGCCGUUGGUCUUAUUAAAAAGAUUAGUGGCGCAGCAAACGCGAUAAGUUGACCGCCUGGGGAGUACGGUCGCAAGACUAAAACUCAAAUGAAUUGACGGGGGCCCGCACAAGCGGUGGAGCAUGUGGUUUAAUUCGAUGCAACGCGAAGAACCUUACCAUCCCUUGACAUCCUCAGAACUUGUAAGAGAUUACUUGGUGCCUUCGGGAACUGAGUGACAGGUGCUGCAUGGCUGUCGUCAGCUCGUGCCG
This 294-nucleotide ribosomal RNA is filed under the name uncultured bacterium. RNAcentral's name for it is "partial 16S ribosomal RNA". It matches the Rfam family "Bacterial small subunit ribosomal RNA", at positions 775 to 1067 of the family's 1533-position model. The record is from RNAcentral.